AUGGCCUUUCAUGAUUUGGAGAUGAAAGCAGCAGGGAGAAAGCAGAGUUCAAUGGAAAAGAUGCUGAGAAAGUACAGAAUUCUGGGAAAUGUAGUUUGGGAAGGUAAGGAUCCAUUUGCCAGAAAAUUCAAAAGGUCAUGCCCUCAACUAUAUUUUACAGAAUUCCAAUCAGCAUCAGAAAGCCCCAAUCAGGAUAGGGGAGAGAUUUGUCCCUGCGUAGCAGCCAGCCAGACUUCCAAUAAGUUGUUGAAUCUGCAAAGAAGAGGACUGACUGAGACUUCCACUUUUAAAGUCAUCAAAGUUGAUGGCCACAAUCCGCUCUUGCACAGAUCACCAUCUGCACUCAAGAUGAGGAACCAUCAGGAAUGAGGAGGUGAUCAUUUAGGUAAGUGCAUAUAAUUCUUCACAAUCAAUCUGAAGCAGCAAAGAAACCCUUGCCUAUCCCAACACUGUAUUUCAAAGCUCUUACACUCCAUAAAAUGCUAUUUCUCUCAUUCCAGCAUGUAAACUACUACUACAACAACAAACAAAACAAAAAAGAAGAGUGUUUUGGGUGAUUUCAUUCCAGUGAUAUAAAAGAGAUAUAAAAAUAUUCACAUAUUUUCUUAUCUUUCACUAGAAACAUUGUCUCAGCUGGCACACCCCUAACCUGCCUCUUCCUGGUAAUUGCCAGAAGAUUUUUCAUUCUUAAACAAAAGCAAAAAAAAUUGAACUUUUUGUUUUAUUUUCAGUGGACUUUACACUAAAUUUGGAAAGAGGUUGAAAAACUAUUGUUUAUACAUUUUAAGGGUGAUGGUGGUCAAAUGAAUGUUUCAAAGGUUAUUUUUUGCAUUAAAAUAUUUUAUGAAAUUUUCACCAAAACUUUUGCAUUUAUUCUCAUAAAUUCUCAUUUUUGAUUUUAUUGAAUGAUACCCUGGGAUCACAUGACACAAAGUGAAAUAUACAUAUUUUAAUUAAUAAAUAGUGAUGUAUUGUAGAACAUUCUCCCAGCAUCAGUACUAAAGAACGGUCCUGUGGUUUUAAGCUCUUGUUCAGAGAAUCAUAUAUAACCAUUUAUUUUUUCCUCCAGUAUAAAAAUCAGGACCAGACCUCAUGUUGAAGGUUCUUGAAAAUUCCAAUUCUUGGUUGUAUUUGGUCUUAUUCAAAAUCACAAUGUUUUGGUGAUUAUCCUUCUGUGAGCAAGUAACAAGUAGCAUUUGUUUUUGUUUUUCGGACAGUUCCACACUUUUUUAAAUGAGAAUGUAAAACUUUUGUGACAUCUCACCAAUCAAAUUAAAGCAAAAUCAGGAGGAAUAAUGGAAACAGAAAAGCCUUCAGAAGAUGUAAUGAGGACAAAUAGAGAAACUAAAUUCAGCUCCUUUCUCCUCCAUCACCAAUUCUUUAUUCAAACCCUAGUGUAUAUCUAAUCCAGGGGCUGAUAGCCUGGCUGUGAUCAGGAUUGUUCACCACAGGCAGCAGAUUAUGGGUGCCAUAUUUUGGUAGCAAAUUGUUCAUUAUUUAUUUUGUUAUCCUUGUGUUCUUACUGGUGAGACUAGGAAGAGGUUUUCAUGGUCUUUUGUGACUUGGGUGCCAAGACAACUUGGCUGACUUUUGAUACUGUGCACCUGACUUCAAUAGGAGACUGAUGCCAUUUACUGCUCUGGCUCAGACAUCAGAAUGUCUUGUUAAGACCUUAAUUAUGAUAUAAAGGCAACAGGUGUUGGUUGCUUUUUGAGCUGCUAUUAGGGUUCGAAGAGCCAAAAAAACAAAGGCAGGCACUGUUCACAAAUGGAGGCACUGAUUUUUGUGUCAAAUGGACACAAAAAUGUGUGCUUAUACAGAACCCUUGUUGGAGAAUUCUUUUUUUUUCUAGGUUCAUUCCCAUUGUUGCAGCCCAGCUGCCUACUCAGUCCCUUUUUCACCCAAACACCACACAGAUGAACAAGAAUAAUAUGCUUAUUAAGAAAAGAGUACCUAAUAUAAUUGGACAAGCUUCUACAAAUUUUGAUAUUCACGGGUGUCCUGGAACUAAAUCCAAGCAGAUACCAGGGGUCCACUGUAGUGACUGAAAGUAAUACUACAUGUUUCAGGCACAUCUAAAUAGAUUCAAAUUAGUUAAUGCAAUAUUAGAAACUGAAUAUCUCUGAGGUGCACACACAGAGUUCCCAUGCUAAUUUUCAAGAGACUGCUUUAUAGUCUUGGAGCUAUGGAGGACUCCCUCUUUCUCACACACAGAUAGAAUCUUUUAAUAGUCCAAAUGGAAACAAAAAGAGAGUCAUUACAUAUAUAUUUAUAUACUUGAAGCCACAGGUGUAAGAUGCCACCCUGCUUAUGAAAACUUAGAACAAAAAACUUUAAUUUCCCACAAACAAGAUCAUAAAAAGGGAAGAAUGACAUGUGACAAACUGGUAUUUGCAGAAACUUAAAACUAAACACAUAUGUACACACAAACAUAUGGCACUCUCAAAAAUUUUAAAACAACAAAAUGUGCAGUGUCUUCACUAAAAAAGUAACAAAUAUGCAAAUCUUUUUGAUGAUUUCACAAGUGUCAUUUUAUCCUUUAACACACUGUCACAGCUACGUUUCUCACAAUUAUCUAAAAUUAUCGGAAGACAUAUGUCUUGGAUAUGCUCCCCCCCCCCCACAUUCACGCUUUUGCCAUCCAAGUCCAGCUUGACAUACCUUGCUGUUCAAGGAAGAAGAUCAAACAUGUUGUUUUAUGAAAUAUAUAGCAUACCACUCAAAUGUAUAGUACCAAAGGCACCUCAAUUAGUUUGGCACAUGGGACAGAAAUAAAUGAAGCACCACUUCUCAUAGAUGACAAUAAAAUGGGUAAAGAAUGAAUUCAGUAAUUUACAAAUUGCUGCCUUGUUAUGACAGACAAAAUCAUAUGCUAGUUAUAGCUUCCUCUCUCUGCUUAAUAAUUGAACCAACCUUGACGACCCUUACAAUUAGAAUUGCAUGUCUGAGAAGUAAGCAUAAGCAUAUAAACAAUUGCUUGUUUCAUUUUCACACACAAGAGUAAAUCAUUUCAAAGGUUUUCCCCAUGCUGGGAAAAACUAUGAGCGUUUUGUGCAUAUAAUACACACAUAUAUAAAAUUACAUUUUGGUUUAGAAAAAAACAAACUUUGAACUAACAAGAUUUUUGUGCAAAACUCAACUCUCAAAAUGUGAACCAUCUUUCAGCAAUUGAAAGUUUUUACAAAGAGAUGUCUUAAUGGGUUGAAACCCAGUGAAGAUAAGAACAUUUGCGAGGAUAUGUUUAAUAAAUGUUAUUACAUUGCUAGUAAAAAAAAAUACCUGGGGGACACAAACAUUUUUCUUUCUGGCCCUACCUCUUCUUUUCACCCUCAUUUUCCAGAUUGGCUCAAGUCUUGCAGCUUGAAAUCUUGUAAGUUCUCAGAGCCAUAUGAGGUACCAUAAAAUUUCAUUAAGCAUGUUAAAAAUGAUACCUGUCCUCUCUUACCAUUUCAUCACAUAAUUUAAAUUCCACUGAGUUCUAGACU
Long non-coding RNA from Anolis carolinensis (green anole), 3485 nucleotides. The record is from Ensembl. NCBI's taxonomy places the organism in Eukaryota, Metazoa, Chordata, Lepidosauria, Squamata, Anolidae.